Pipistrellus kuhlii (Kuhl's pipistrelle) is the source of this 106-nucleotide small nuclear RNA. The record is from RefSeq and is a predicted model, not a curated record. Lineage: Eukaryota; Metazoa; Chordata; Mammalia; Chiroptera; Vespertilionidae.
GUGCUUGGUUUGGCAGCACUUGUACUAAAAUUGGAACAAUACAGAGAAAUUACCCUCGCCCCUGUGCUUGUAUGACACACAAAAUUUUUAUACAAAAUAAUAUUGA